Molecule: ribosomal RNA, 189 nt
Filed under: uncultured bacterium
Lineage: Bacteria
Description: partial 16S ribosomal RNA
Rfam family: Bacterial small subunit ribosomal RNA
Source: RNAcentral
CCUACGGGAGGCAGCAGUGGGGAAUAUUGGACAAUGGGCGCAAGCCUGAUCCAGCCAUGCCGCGUGCAGGAUGACGGUCCUAUGGAUUGUAAACUGCUUUUAUACGAGAAGAAACACUGGUUCGUGAACCAGCUUGACGGUAUCGUAAGAAUAAGGAUCGGCUAACUCCGUGCCAGCAGCCGCGGUAAU